UACGUAGGGUCCAAGCGUUAUCCGGAGUCACUGGGCGUAAAGCGUGCGUAGGUGGAUGUUUAAGUGAGAGGUUAAAUCGUGUGGCUCAACCAUAUCGAUGCCUCUCAUACUGGGCAUCUAGAGGACAGCAGAGGCAAGUGGAAUUGGUAGUGUAGCAGUGAAAUGCGUAGAUAUUACCAGGAACACCAAUGGCGAAGGCAGCUUGCUGGGCUACUCCUGACACUGAGGUACGAAAGCGUGGGGAGCGAACAGG
Molecule: ribosomal RNA, 253 nt
Filed under: uncultured bacterium
Lineage: Bacteria
Description: partial 16S ribosomal RNA
Rfam family: Bacterial small subunit ribosomal RNA
Source: RNAcentral